Molecule: ribosomal RNA, 303 nt
Filed under: Triticum aestivum (bread wheat)
Lineage: Eukaryota; Viridiplantae; Streptophyta; Magnoliopsida; Poales; Poaceae
Description: partial small subunit ribosomal RNA
Source: RNAcentral
AUGCCGCUCUUUUCCCUGAACACCCAUGAGAGCGACGCCAUGCUGCGAGGGGAGCAAGUCGAGGUGCCUAUGCGGGCUGCAAAAAUGGAGGGCGUCGCCGACUCGGAUGUUUUGUCCUGCUCAAGCACGUCAUUAAUGGGUGUUGGACAUGGACUCCACAUGGAACGCUCUCUUUGCCACAUCAAAGAUGGCCUCAAGCCCCUAUACAGAAGUAUACAAUCUUGCCGUUCUACAAUUUUCUCUGGAACAACGAUGUACAACUUCGACGGAACAGGACCACCAGUGCUCCACCUGAGAUUGUAA